This 377-nucleotide ribosomal RNA is filed under the name uncultured eukaryote. Its description in RNAcentral is "partial 18S ribosomal RNA". It matches the Rfam family "Eukaryotic small subunit ribosomal RNA", at positions 592 to 976 of the family's 1831-position model. The record is from RNAcentral.
CAAUAGCGUAUAUUUAAGUUGCUGCAGUUAAAAAGCUCGUAGUUGGAUUUCGGGUGGGAAUGGCCGGUCCGCCGUUUCGGUGUGCACUUGCUACGCCCACCUUGCUGCCGGGGACGUGCUCUUGAGUUCACGCUCGGGACACGGAGUCGGCGAGGUUACUUUGAGUAAAUUAGAGUGUUCAAAGCAGGCCUACGCUCUGAAUACAUUAGCAUGGAAUAACACGAUAGGACUCUGGCCUAUCUUGUUGGUCUGUAGGACCGGAGUAAUGAUUAAGAGGGACAGUCGGGGGCAUUCGAAUUUCAUUGUCAGAGGUGAAAUUCUUGGAUUUAUGAAAGACGAACUACUGCGAAAGCAUUUGCCAAGGAUGUUUUCAUUAA